ACUCCUACGGGAGGCAGCAGUGGGGAAUAUUGCACAAUGGGCGCAAGCCUGAUGCAGCCAUGCCGCGUGUAUGAAGAAGGCCUUCGGGUUGUAAAGUACUUUCAGCAGUGAGGAAGGUGGGUGUGUUUAAUAGCGAUACUCAUUUGACGUUAGCUGCAGAAGAAGCACCGGCUAACUCCGUGCCAGCAGCCGCGGUAAUACGGAGGGUGCGAGCGUUAAUCGGAAUUACUGGGCGUAAAGCGCAUGCAGGUGGUUUGUUAAGUCAGAUGUGAAAGCCC
This 278-nucleotide ribosomal RNA is filed under the name uncultured bacterium. RNAcentral's name for it is "partial 16S ribosomal RNA". It matches the Rfam family "Bacterial small subunit ribosomal RNA", at positions 335 to 603 of the family's 1533-position model. The record is from RNAcentral.